Molecule: non-coding RNA, 24 nt
Filed under: Arabidopsis thaliana (thale cress)
Lineage: Eukaryota; Viridiplantae; Streptophyta; Magnoliopsida; Brassicales; Brassicaceae
Source: RNAcentral
GUCGGUUCGGCCAAUGACAUUGUA